GAUGAACGCUGGCGGCGUGCUUAACACAUGCAAGUCGAACGAACCUUCGGGUUAGUGGCGGACGGGUGAGUAACGCGUGAGAAUCUGCCCUCAGGAGGGGGAUAACGGUUGGAAACGACCGCUAAUACCCCAUAUGCCUACUGGUGAAAUGAAUUUCGCCUGAGGAUGAGCUCGCGUCUGAUUAGCUAGUUGGUGAGGUAAUGGCUCACCAAGGCUUCGAUCAGUAGCUGGUCUGAGAGGAUGAUCAGCCACACUGGGACUGAGACACGGCCCAGACUCCUACGGGAGGCAGCAGUGGGGAAUUUUCCGCAAUGGGCGAAAGCCUGACGGAGCAACGCCGCGUGAGGGACGAAGGCCUCUGGGCUGUAAACCUCUUUUCUCAAGGAAGAAGAUAUGACGGUACUUGAGGAAUAAGCCACGGCUAAUUCCGUGCCAGCCGCCGCCGUAACAC
This 451-nucleotide ribosomal RNA is filed under the name uncultured bacterium. Its description in RNAcentral is "bacterial SSU rRNA". It matches the Rfam family "Bacterial small subunit ribosomal RNA", at positions 28 to 526 of the family's 1533-position model. The record is from RNAcentral.